GGUCAAGUGAAGAAGCGCAUACGGUGGAUGCCUUGGCAGUCAGAGGCGAUGAAAGACGUGGUAGCCUGCGAUAAGCUUUGGGGAGUCGGCAAACAGACUGUGAUCCAGAGAUCUCUGAAUGGGGGAACCCACUCAGCACAAGCUGAGUAUCUUGUACUGAAUACAUAGGUGCAAGAGGCGAACCAGGGGAACUGAAACAUCUAAGUACCCUGAGGAAAAGAAAUCAACCGAGAUUCCCUUAGUAGUGGCGAGCGAACGGGGACCAGCCCUUAAGUUGAUUUGAGAUUAGUGGAACGCUCUGGAAAGUGCGGCCAUAGUGGGUGAUAGCCCCGUACACGAAAAUCUCUUGUCAAUGAAAUCGAGUAGGACGGAGCACGAGAAACUUUGUCUGAAUAUGGGGGGACCAUCCUCCAAGGCUAAAUACUACUGACUGACCGAUAGUGAACCAGUACCGUGAGGGAAAGGCGAAAAGAACCCCGGAGAGGGGAGUGAAAUAGAACCUGAAACCGUAUGCGUACAAGCAGUGGGAGCCUACUUUGUUAGGUGACUGCGUACCUUUUGUAUAAUGGGUCAGCGACUUAUAUUCAGUGGCGAGCUUAACCGAAUAGGGGAGGCGUAGCGAAAGCG
This 627-nucleotide ribosomal RNA is filed under the name Pseudomonas putida. RNAcentral describes it as "partial 23S ribosomal RNA". It matches the Rfam family "Bacterial large subunit ribosomal RNA", at positions 1 to 679 of the family's 2925-position model. Lineage: Bacteria; Pseudomonadati; Pseudomonadota; Gammaproteobacteria; Pseudomonadales; Pseudomonadaceae. The record is from RNAcentral.